Dinoponera quadriceps is the source of this 2195-nucleotide RNA transcript. It is a transcript of the gene named beta-1,3-glucan-binding protein 2-like, with no coding region annotated. NCBI's taxonomy places the organism in Eukaryota, Metazoa, Arthropoda, Insecta, Hymenoptera, Formicidae. The transcript is spliced from 9 exons. The record is from RefSeq and is a predicted model, not a curated record.
AAAAUUAUCCGAGACAACACGCUUUUGUAGAUAACGGAAUUCUAAUGAGGAAAUUCCGACGAAUAUAUCAGCGGACACGAUCCUAAUCAGACGAGUUACAAACGAGUCGUGAGAAUAUGAAUAAACGAGGAAACAGAUAUUCCCUCAACAUCGAUACGUACGUAUCUACGAUCCGGUGUUUUUUUUUUUUUUUCUCGCGAAAGAAAGAAGGCGUUACGCGGGAGGCAUCGGCGAGUCAGUGGUGCGUGACUAUCGGCCGCUCGAUUCAACUUGCAAUUGCUGAUUCUAGUUAAUCUCGCCGUCUCCUCCUCCUUCUCCUUCUUCUCCUUCUUUUCCUGCUCCACCCAUCUACCUUGGUAUCAAAAAGACCAGUCGUCCUUCGAAAGUUCGGUAUUAAAAGGCGACGACAGAACGAGGAAUAACAAAGAUCGGUGUAGAUGCGGACAGCAAGAAUUUGAAGACGAUAAGGUGAUUUGAGGACACCGGGCACAAUUUGUCGAAAUGGCCGGAUAUUCUCCGUUUGCGACGCCGUUUCUGAUCGCAUUCGCGAUAUUUCUCGCGAAUAUUCGUGAGAAUCACGCUUACGAUCCUCCGGCAGCCACGGUAGAGCCGCUCUUUCCCACUGGAUUGCGCGUGUCCAUCCCCGACGAGGAGGGAAUCACACUGGUGGCCUUUCACAUAAAGUUCAACGAGGACUUCGACGGCCUGGAAGCGGGGCACAUUGCGAAGGACAUUCUCAAGGUUCGCAAUGAACGAUGGAUUUAUGAGGAUCGAAAUACCAGGCUGAAGAGGGACGACAUCAUUUAUUAUUGGGUCCACGUUGUGUAUCGAGGACUCGGUUACAAUUUAAUUGAUCAGUCGCACCAAGUUGUCGAUUUUUACAAUCCCGACGGCACGCUGCACAUCACCGAUAUACUUCAGCAUAACUGUACGACAAAAUCGGCGACGUGGAUCUUCAAGAACGGCACACGACAGCAACUUUGCCCACGUGAGCUCUUGUUCGAGGAUAACUUCGACAGUAUUGACAGCGCAAAAUGGAAUUCGAAUCAACGUUUCAUUGGCCCGCCGAAUUACGAGUUUGUCGUCUACAUGACCGAUGAUGUAACAGACGUGAGCAACGGACGGCUACGCAUCAAGCCAAUCCUGACCAACGACAAAUUCGGCACGGAUUUCGUGUCGCAAGGAAGAUUGGUCUUGGAGCAUUGUACCGGUCAGGCUGAUACGGACGAGUGUCAACGCCAAGCAGCCGGUUCGUACAUCCUGCCGCCUGUGGUCUCUGGACGCUUAGAUACGCGAGGCAAGUUUGAGUUCUUGUUCGGACGUAUCGAGAUACGAGCCAAGUUGCCGCGCGGCGAUUGGGUGUAUCCCAUUAUUACCCUGACAAGCUCAGAGAGCGAGCAGGAGCACGGAAUGUACCGUGAGAUCAGGAUUGCUUCGUCGGUUGGUAACGAGGAACUGAGGAACGCCGACAACAAGAAUGUCGGCAAUCGCAUUCUGUACGCGGGUGGACUAGUCACUACCGUGAACUCACCGAGCAGCAGUCAAUCGACACUUUCGAAGAGACCGUCGAGUAAAUCCUGGUCGAGUGAUUAUCACAUAUUCCAAGUCGACUGGAAGAGCGGUCUCAUCGUCGUAAAGGUCGACGGUGUUCAAUACGGCGAGCAGACCGUGGACGUGGCGUUCGGCAAACGGUCGUACUUGACCCUGGGCGUAGCUGUGGGUGGUAUUCACGAAUUCGAGGAUCUUUCCACCAGCAGCGGUUAUGUCAAGCCGUGGCGAAACGUCGAGGCGAAGGCGAUGUACAAUUUCUAUCGUGCGAAGGAUUCUUGGUACCCCACAUGGCAAAUGCAAACGGCGCUCGAAGUGGAUUACGUGAAAGUGUGGGCGCUGUGAACACUUCAACGGGAGCUUUUCAUGGGGGUUUUUGUGUUACUAUCACACAUAUACAUGCUUGCAGUUUUGUACUCGAGAAUUGUUUCCGCAUCUCUGUUUUACGAGCUUUAAGAGCACCUUGAUGCCAUUCUUAUCACGUUACGAAGAUAACUAAAAAAAAUCAUCGGGUCAAUAAAAACUUUUACACGACGGCGAUUUAUAUACAUGGCAUACCGAGUCACUCGAUAUCUUCGUCUCUCUUCGUGCUUCUGUACAACUGUUGAGAUAGAAUAAGAUAUCGGGGGAAAACCCGAUUAGUGAAA